GGGCUGUGAUGACUAGUUUCAUUUCUCGAUACUGAUCUAAAGUUGUUUUUUUAUACGGAUCAAGAAAAGGCAACGAUUUAAGUUUGAUGACCGCGUUUGUGCGUGUCUGAGCCUG
Hevea brasiliensis (rubber tree) is the source of this 115-nucleotide small nucleolar RNA. RefSeq annotates it as small nucleolar RNA snoR126. The transcript has a single exon. NCBI's taxonomy places the organism in Eukaryota, Viridiplantae, Streptophyta, Magnoliopsida, Malpighiales, Euphorbiaceae. The record is from RefSeq and is a predicted model, not a curated record.